This 443-nucleotide ribosomal RNA is filed under the name uncultured bacterium. RNAcentral's name for it is "partial 16S ribosomal RNA". It matches the Rfam family "Bacterial small subunit ribosomal RNA", at positions 338 to 795 of the family's 1533-position model. The record is from RNAcentral.
CCUACGGGAGGCAGCAGUGGGGAAUAUUGGGCAAUGGGCGCAAGCCUGACCCAGCAAAGCCGCGUGAAGGAAGACGGCUUUCGGGUUGUAAACUUCUUUUAUCAUGGGCGAAGCAAGUGACGGUACCUGAUGAAUAAGCCACGGCUAACUACGUGCCACCAGCCGCGGUAAUACGUAGGUGGCAAUCGUUAUCCGGAUUUACUGGGUGUAAAGGGAGUGUAGGCGGGAUUGCAAGUCAGAUGUGAAAACUAUGGGCUCAACCCAUAGAUUGCAGUUGAUACUGGAAUCCUUGAGUGCUGGAGAGGCAAGCGGAAUUCGGGGUGUAGCGGUGAAAUGCGUAGAUAUACGGAGGAACUCCAGGGGCGAAGGCAGAUUGCUGGACAGUAACUGACGCUGAGGCGCGAAAGCGUGGGGAGCAAACAGGAGUAGAUACCCUUGUGGUC